This 1429-nucleotide ribosomal RNA is filed under the name uncultured organism. RNAcentral's name for it is "16S ribosomal RNA". It matches the Rfam family "Bacterial small subunit ribosomal RNA". The record is from RNAcentral.
CAGGCUUAACACAUGCAAGUCGAGGGGCAGCAUUUCAGUUUGCUUGCAAACUGGAGAUGGCGACCGGCGCACGGGUGAGUAACACGUAUCCAACCUGCCGAUAACUCGGGGAUAGCCUUUCGAAAGAAAGAUUAAUACCCGAUGGCAUAAUUAGACCGCAUGGUCUUAUUAUUAAAGAAUUUCGGUUAUCGAUGGGGAUGCGUUCCAUUAGGCAGUUGGUGAGGUAACGGCUCACCAAACCUUCGAUGGAUAGGGGUUCUGAGAGGAAGGUCCCCCACAUUGGAACUGAGACACGGUCCAAACUCCUACGGGAGGCAGCAGUGAGGAAUAUUGGUCAAUGGACGAGAGUCUGAACCAGCCAAGUAGCGUGAAGGAUGACUGCCCUAUGGGUUGUAAACUUCUUUUAUAUGGGAAUAAAGUUUUCCACGUGUGGAAUUUUGUAUGUACCAUAUGAAUAAGGAUCGGCUAACUCCGUGCCAGCAGCCGCGGUAAUACGGAGGAUCCGAGCGUUAUCCGGAUUUAUUGGGUUUAAAGGGAGCGUAGGUGGACAGUUAAGUCAGUUGUGAAAGUUUGCGGCUCAACCGUAAAAUUGCAGUUGAUACUGGCUGUCUUGAGUACAGUAGAGGUGGGCGGAAUUCGUGGUGUAGCGGUGAAAUGCUUAGAUAUCACGAAGAACUCCGAUUGCGAAGGCAGCUCACUGGACUGCAACUGACACUGAUGCUCGAAAGUGUGGGUAUCAAACAGGAUUAGAUACCCUGGUAGUCCACACAGUAAACGAUGAAUACUCGCUGUUUGCGAUAUACAGUAAGCGGCCAAGCGAAAGCAUUAAGUAUUCCACCUGGGGAGUACGCCGGCAACGGUGAAACUCAAAGGGAAUUGACGGGGGCCCGCACAAGCGGAGGAACAUGUGGCUUAAUUCGAUGAUACGCGAGGACCCUUACCCGGGCUUAAAUUGCAUUUGAAUAAUCUGGAAACAGGUUAGCCGCAAGGCAAAUGUGAAGGUGCUGCAUGGUUGUCGUCAGCUCGUGCCGUGAGGUGUCGGCUUAAGUGCCAUAACGAGCGCAACCCUUAUCUUUAGUUACUAACAGGUCAUGCUGAGGACUCUAGAGAGACUGCCGUCGUAAGAUGUGAGGAAGGUGGGGAUGACGUCAAAUCAGCACGGCCCUUACGUCCGGGGCCACACACGUGUUACAAUGGGGGGUACAGAAGGCAGCUACCUGGUGACAGGAUGCUAAUCCCAAAAGCCUCUCUCAGUUCGGAUCGAAGUCUGCAACCCGACUUCGUGAAGCUGGAUUCGCUAGUAAUCGCGCAUCAGCCAUGGCGCGGUGAAUACGUUCCCGGGCCUUGUACACACCGCCCGUCAAGCCAUGAAAGCCGGGGGUACCUGAAGUGCGUAACCGCAAGGAGCGUCCUAGGGUAAAACUGGUAA